UACAGAGACUGCAAGCGUUAAUCGGAAUUACUGGGCGUAAAGGGCUCGUAGGCGGCCAACUAAGUCAGACGUGAAAUCCCUCGGCUUAACCGGGGAACUGCGUCUGAUACUGGAUGGCUUGAGAUUGGGAGAGGGAUGCGGAAUUCCAGGUGUAGCGGUGAAAUGCGUAGAUAUAGGAAGGAAUACCAGUGGCGAAGGCGGCCUCCUGGAUCGAUACUGACGCUGAGGCGCGAAAGCGUGGGGAGCAAACAGG
Molecule: ribosomal RNA, 253 nt
Filed under: uncultured bacterium
Lineage: Bacteria
Description: partial 16S ribosomal RNA
Rfam family: Bacterial small subunit ribosomal RNA
Source: RNAcentral